GGAUCCAUAGCUCAGUGGUAGAGCAAUCGAAUGCAGAUCCAUAGGUCUCCAGUACAAACCUGUAUGGGCCCU
Molecule: transfer RNA, 72 nt
Filed under: Zea mays
Lineage: Eukaryota; Viridiplantae; Streptophyta; Magnoliopsida; Poales; Poaceae
Rfam family: tRNA
About the family: Transfer RNA (tRNA) molecules are approximately 80 nucleotides in length. Their secondary structure includes four short double-helical elements and three loops (D, anti-codon, and T loops). Further hydrogen bonds mediate the characteristic L-shaped molecular structure. tRNAs have two regions of fundamental functional importance: the anti-codon, which is responsible for specific mRNA codon recognition, and the 3' end, to which the tRNAs corresponding amino acid is attached (by aminoacyl-tRNA synthetases). tRNAs cope with the degeneracy of the genetic code in two manners: having more than one tRNA (with a specific anti-codon) for a particular amino acid; and 'wobble' base-pairing, i.e. permitting non-standard base-pairing at the 3rd anti-codon position.
Source: Rfam by way of RNAcentral